This 64-nucleotide transfer RNA is filed under the name Mantispa japonica. RNAcentral's name for it is "tRNA-Cys". The record is from RNAcentral. Lineage: Eukaryota; Metazoa; Arthropoda; Insecta; Neuroptera; Mantispidae.
AGUCUUAUAUUCAAGAAUGAUUUUAAAUUGCAAAUUUAAAGGUGAAAAUUAAUUUCUAAGACUU